AGUGAACGCUGGCGGUAGGCCUAACACAUGCAAGUCGAACGGCAGCACAGUAAGAGCUUGCUCUUACGGGUGGCGAGUGGCGGACGGGUGAGGAAUACAUCGGAAUCUACUUUUUCGUGGGGGAUAACGUAGGUAAACUUACGCUAAUACCGCAUACGACCUACGGGUGAAAGCAGGGGAUCUUCGGACCUUGCGCGAUUGAAUGAGCCGAUGUCGGAUUAGCUAGUUGGCGGGGUAAAUGCCCACCAAGUCGACGAUCCGUAGCUGGUCUGAGAGGAUGAUCAGCCACACUGGAACUGAGACACGGUCCAGACUCCUACGGGAGGCAGCAGUGGGGAAUAUUGGACAAUGGGCGCAAGCAUGAUCCAGCCAUACCGCGUGGGUGAAGAAGGCCUUCGGGUUGUAAAGCCCUUUUGUUGGGAAAGAAAAGCAGCAGGUUAAUACCCCGCUGUUCUGACGGUACCCAAAGAAUAAGCACCGGCUAACUUCGUG
This 492-nucleotide ribosomal RNA is filed under the name uncultured bacterium. RNAcentral describes it as "partial 16S ribosomal RNA". It matches the Rfam family "Bacterial small subunit ribosomal RNA", at positions 29 to 507 of the family's 1533-position model. The record is from RNAcentral.